UCCGGUUUGACACCGGCAGUCCCCCUAGAGUCCCCGGCAUGACCCGCUGGCAACUAGGGGCAGGGGUUGCGCUCGUUGCGGCACUUAAGCCAACACCUCACGGCACGAGCUGACGACAGCCAUGCAGCACCUGUGCAGGGCCCCGAAGGACACGGGCUUUCACCCGCUUUACCCUGCAUGUCAAACCCAGGUAAGGUUCUUCGCGUUGCAUCGAAUUAAUCCGCAUGCUCCGCCGCUUGUGCGGGCCCCCGUCAAUUCCUUUGAGUUUCAUUCUUGCGAACGUACUCCCCAGGUGGUAUGCUUACUGCGUUAACUGCGUCACCGAACCCGAAAGCCCGACAACUAGCAUACAUCGUUUACAGCGUGGACUAC
Molecule: unclassified non-coding RNA, 372 nt
Filed under: uncultured bacterium
Lineage: Bacteria
Description: contains 16S-23S intergenic spacer region
Source: RNAcentral